UUCUGGUUGAUCCUGCCAGAGGUCACUGCUAUCGGGGUUCGAUUAAGCCAUGCGAGUCGAGAGGGUUCGGCCCUCGGCGUACUGCUCAGUAACACGUGGAUAACCUGCCCUAGGGAAGGGGAUAACCCCGGGAACUGGGGAUAAUACCCUAUAGGUUACAGAUGCUGGAAUGCUCUGUAACCCAAAGUUCCGGCGCCCUAGGAUGGAUCUGCGGCCGAUUAGGUUGUUGUUGGGGUAAUGGCCCAACAAGCCAGUAAUCGGUACGGGUUGUGGGAGCAAGAGCCCGGAGUUGGAUUCUGAGACACGAAUCCAGGCCCUACGGGG
Molecule: ribosomal RNA, 324 nt
Filed under: uncultured Methanoculleus sp.
Lineage: Archaea; Methanobacteriati; Methanobacteriota; Methanomicrobia; Methanomicrobiales; Methanomicrobiaceae
Description: bacterial SSU rRNA
Rfam family: Archaeal small subunit ribosomal RNA
Source: RNAcentral